Molecule: long non-coding RNA, 1618 nt
Organism: Homo sapiens (human)
Lineage: Eukaryota; Metazoa; Chordata; Mammalia; Primates; Hominidae
Gene: KLF3-AS1
Product: KLF3 antisense RNA 1
Source: Ensembl
GGGGGAGGAGCAGGAGCGCGCGGCCGCGGCGCUACCUUUCUCCAAACAACGUUGCCACACGCGGAGAGCACGGAGAUUUCUGGGGCUUUGGAGGGAAUCGUGAGCGGGCGGGAGGAGGCCGGGGACCACACAGAGAAUAACUUGUCUGACUACCAGUAUUCUUGGAUGCAGAAGUGCUGAAGAUGAGCACACACACGUACGGAGAAUUUCUGGAGAAUUCAGCUGCUCAGAACAAGAACUGAGAUCCAGAGAGAUGAUGACUUUGCCCAUAGACCAAACAAAGAAAUACAUGUUUCAGUCCUGUGUCCUCCUGCUAUGUGUGUCCGGAAUUGGUGGGUUCUUGGUCUCACUGACUUCAAGAAUGAAGCUGCGGACCCUCGCGGACCGUGUGUGAAUGCCUGCUCUGUGAGCCCUCAGAAUCUACUGGCUGAAUGAGUGCGUGGAGGAAAUGUGCUCAGAGCUGCUGUGUGUCAUCCUGUGUUUGAAGUGCUCCUGCAGCUAUCAUUCAUCCAGUUAAGAAUUUGAAGAACUCACAGGAUAUCGGCCAUGUUAAUGAGUCUGAUGUUGCUAGUAUCACAGGCACCGGAAAAUAUGCACAUUAUGCUGGAGCAUUAGAAUGCAACAGAAAGAGCCCUGGGCUUGGAGUAUGCAGAACUGGUUCUUGUUACAACUCCUCUUACUAGUGGGCUCUGGAAGAAAACACAUUGAAUUCAUGAUCAUGGUUAACCUUUGGAGAGAGAGAGGAGACCAGGAUGAAGGAGCCAGUCGAAGAUCCUGUUCAAGUGUACACUGAGCCAGCAGGUUCACCAGAAAGCUAUUGAGCGUUUGCUGGAACACAUUAUGCAGGGUGAAUUUCUUCUGGAAUGUUGCCAAGGAUUUUUUAUGCUUCUGUGGCAGGCAUUUCUUGAACAUUGUCAUUUAGCCAAGCAAAGAAGAUUUUCUUAAAGGAUAGAAAAUGUUUAAAAAUUUUUGUUUGUUUGAAGAUAGGUUAAAUGGCUAUAUGAUCUCAGGAUAAGACAGAGAAAAUCACUUAUUUCUCUAAGUGAUCUGAUUAGGUUAGUGAUGUUUUGCCUUUAAACAGAUUCAUCAUUAUUCCUAAAGUAUUGCUGUAUUAAUACUGUCUUCUAGAAAGUAUCCACCAGUGCCUACUUUUCUUCGAUAUCAUUAGCUGUUUUUCGAAACUGAAUUUGCUCUUCAGAGAUUUCUCAUAUGUUUGCGUAUAAGGAACUACUGGUAAUAGCCAAGAAAAUUUGGAGGUGCAGAGAACAUGCUGAAACAGAAUUUUUCACUUUCAAUUCUAGAACUAUGCCAUAAAAAAAAAGGAAAAUGUAAAAAUGUCUUUAUAUUAGAGCAGAUAUUUUAAAAGUAUUGCAAAUUCAAUGAUAAAUUCUAAGGUUAAAAUUGGACACAUAAAAAAUACAAUAUAUAAAUAUCUCCCCAGAAAUUAUUAUCUAAUGAAUAGUAAAAGCUGACUACAAACCAUGUCAUUUUAACAAGGGUUUAAAUAGUACCAAGAUUCUCAUCAUAUGCUCUGGGAUACCCAGUGAUGUACAAGGGUUCUCUCUAAACAUGGGGAGGAAAAAUUUCAAAUAUAAAGAUUUGAAUCUUGUCUUUGCCA